Molecule: transfer RNA, 78 nt
Filed under: Podarcis lilfordi (Lilford's wall lizard)
Lineage: Eukaryota; Metazoa; Chordata; Lepidosauria; Squamata; Lacertidae
Description: tRNA.Ile
Source: RNAcentral
AUCCUGUAAUAUAGCUCAGUUGGUUAGAGCAUGGUGCUGAUAAUGCCAAGGUUGCAGGUUUGAUCCCCAUAUGGGACA